GGCCUACGGGACGCAGCAGUGAGGAAUAUUGGUCAAUGGCCGGAAGGCUGAACCAGCCAAGCCGCGUGAAGGACGAAGGUGCCAAGCAUUGUAAACUUCUUUUGUCAAGGGACAAAAUCAGGCUCGAGAGCCUGACCGAGGGUACUUGAGGAAAAAGCAUCGGCUAACUCCGUGCCAGCAGCCGCGGUAAUACGUAGGGGGCAAGCGUUAUCCGGAUUUACUGGGUGUAAAGGGAGCGCAGGCGGCGCGGUAAGUCUGAUGUGAAAGCCCGGGGCUCAACCCCGGGACUGCAUUGGAAACUGUCG
Molecule: ribosomal RNA, 305 nt
Filed under: uncultured bacterium
Lineage: Bacteria
Description: bacterial SSU rRNA
Rfam family: Bacterial small subunit ribosomal RNA
Source: RNAcentral